RNAcentral lists this ribosomal RNA (548 nucleotides) under uncultured bacterium. RNAcentral's name for it is "bacterial SSU rRNA". It matches the Rfam family "Bacterial small subunit ribosomal RNA", at positions 356 to 896 of the family's 1533-position model. The record is from RNAcentral.
GGGGAAUUUUGGACAAUGGGCGCAAGCCUGAUCCAGCCAUGCCGCGUGUCUGAAGAAGGCCUUCGGGUUGUAAAGGACUUUUGUCAGGGAAGAAAAGGCUGUCGCUAAUACCGACAGUUGAUGACGGUACCUGAAGAAUAAGCACCGGCUAACUACGUGCCAGCAGCCGCGGUAAUACGUAGGGUGCGAGCGUUAAUCGGAAUUACUGGGCGUAAAGCGAGCGCAGACGGUUACUUAAGCAGGAUGUGAAAUCCCCGGGCUCAACCUGGGAACUGCGUUCUGAACUGGGUGACUAGAGUGUGUCAGAGGGAGGUAGAAUUCCACGUGUAGCAGUGAAAUGCGUAGAGAUGUGGAGGAAUACCGAUGGCGAAGGCAGCCUCCUGGGAUAACACCGACGUUCAUGCUCGAAAGCGUGGGUAGCAAACAGGAUUAGAUACCCUGGUAGUCCACGCCCUAAACGAUGUCAAUUAGCUGUUGGGCAACUUGAUUGCUUAGUAGCGUAGCUAACGCGUGAAAUUGACCGCCUGGGGAGUACGGUCGCAAGAUUA